GGGCCCGCACAAGCGGAGGAGCAUGUGGCUUAAUUCGAUGCAACGCGAAGAACCUUACCAGGGCUUGACAUGGGGACCCUUCGGGGGUGGUAGCGAAAGUUACCUUUACCAUCACAGGUGCUGCAUGGCUGUCGUCAGUUCGUGCCGUGAGGUGUUGGGUUAAGUCCCGCAACGAACGCAACCCCUAUGUUUAGUUGCCACCGUGGGUUCGCCCACGAGCACUCUAGACAGACUGCCCGUACAAGCGGGAGGAAGGUGGGGACGACGUCAAGUCAGUAUGGCCCUUACGCCCUGGGCUGCACACGUGCUACAAUGGCCAGUACAGAGGGGAGCGAAGUUGCGAAGCGGAGCGAA
This 354-nucleotide ribosomal RNA is filed under the name uncultured bacterium. Its description in RNAcentral is "bacterial SSU rRNA". It matches the Rfam family "Bacterial small subunit ribosomal RNA", at positions 917 to 1271 of the family's 1533-position model. The record is from RNAcentral.